UGAGGAAUAUUGGGCAAUGCCCGCAAGGGUGACCCAGCAACGCCGCGUGGAGGAUGAAUGUCGUAAGAUUGUAAACUCCUGUUAGAGGGGAAGAAUAGUACCGGUUGGACCGGUAUAUGACUGUACCCUCAGCGAAAGCCCCGGCUAACUACGUGCCAGCAGCCGCGGUAAUACGUAGGGGGCAAGCGUUGUCCGGAUUUACUGGGUUUAAAGGGUGCGUAGGUGGGCUUAUAAGUCAGUGGUGAAAUCUCCGAGCUUAACUUGGAAACGGCCGUGGAAACUAUAGCUCUUGAAUUAUCUGGAGGUAAGCGGAAUAUGUCAUGUAGCGGUGAAAUGCUUAGAUAUGACAUAGAACACCAAUUGCGAAGGCAGCUUACUACAUAUAAAUUGACGCUGAGGCACGAAAGCGUGGGGAUCAAACA
This 422-nucleotide ribosomal RNA is filed under the name uncultured bacterium. RNAcentral's name for it is "bacterial SSU rRNA". It matches the Rfam family "Bacterial small subunit ribosomal RNA", at positions 355 to 774 of the family's 1533-position model. The record is from RNAcentral.